Molecule: ribosomal RNA, 497 nt
Filed under: uncultured bacterium
Lineage: Bacteria
Description: partial 16S ribosomal RNA
Rfam family: Bacterial small subunit ribosomal RNA
Source: RNAcentral
GAUGAACGCUGGCGGCGUGCCUAAUACAUGCAAGUCGAGCGAACGGACGAGAAGCUUGCUUCUCUGAUGUUAGCGGCGGACGGGUGAGUAACACGUGGAUAACCUACCUAUAAGACUGGGAUAACUUCGGGAAACCGGAGCUAAUACCGGAUAAUAUUUUGAACCGCAUGGUUCAAAAGUGAAAGACGGUCUUGCUGUCACUUAUAGAUGGAUCCGCGCUGCAUUAGCUAGUUGGUAAGGUAACGGCUUACCAAGGCAACGAUGCAUAGCCGACCUGAGAGGGUGAUCGGCCACACUGGAACUGAGACACGGUCCAGACUCCGACGGGAGGCAGCAGUAGGGAAUCUUACGCAAAGGGCGAAAGCCUGACGGAGCAACGCCGCGUGAGUGAUGAAGGUCUUCGGAUCGUAAAACUCUGUUAUUAGGGAAGAACAUAUGUGUAAGUAACUGUGCACAUCUUGACGGUACCUAAUCAGAAAGCCACGGCUAACUACGUG